GGCACUGCUAGUUUGGUUUGCCACCGUAACAAACUCCAGAGGUAAUAACCAAAUAUCAGGCGGUUAUCGAAGUUCAAGAAAUACAAGGUCUGGAAUGUCAAUUCAAACACAAGAAACAACUUCAAGUAGACAUUAUUUUAUGGAACUCUUCUGGCAAUCAAGAUGCAAAGGGAAAAUUAUUAUCCCUGUGAUAUUUAGGAGGAUUUCAAAGUUCACUGUGAAUCAAAUGUACAAAGAAGCAAAACAUCUUCAAUCAAUUCCUGUUCUCUCACUAGCUGCUGCUUUAGUACCUCCAUUUGAAAAUUUUAGUGCUAUGGAAUCACACAGUGGUGAGGAUCACCGGCCCUGUGAGGUAGAUCACCGGGGAUGUGAUAAUUCAUUUUUCCAGAAUUUAAAUUGGUCUAGACAUGCAGUUGAGCCCAGAACGGGUAUUGAGUUUCCUACUAUCUUGGACAACCUAAUAGCUGGGGAGCAAAAUUCCAGUUUCACAUCAGAGGUCCUUGUUGGGACUGGAUCCAGAAUAAUGAAAAUUAUCAGAAUCAAAUCUCUAAAGGUUUAUGCAUUUGGUUUCUAUGUGCAUCCUUUUGAUGUCUGCCAGAAGUUGGGUUGGAAAUAUGCCUCAGUUCCUUUUUGUGAACUGAACAAACAACAAGAUUUUUAUCAGGAUCUUCUCAGGGAAGACAUAAGCAUGACUGUAAGGCUUGUUGUUAGCUGCAAUGGAAUCAAAAUCAACACAGUUCGAGAUGUCUUUGAGAAAUCUCUUCGAGCUCGGUUGUUCAAGGCAAAUCCUGACACCGAUUAUCACUGUCUAGAAACAUUUGGUUCUAUGUUCUCUCAGGAUAUUCCUAUACAUGCAGGUACAACAAUCAAUUUUCGACGAACAACUGAUGGACAUUUAAUUACUGAGAUCGGAGGCAACCAUAUUGGAGCAGUUCAGAGUAGAGAAUUGUGUAGGGCAAUUUUUGAUAUGUACAUUGGUGAUGUUCCUAUAUGUGAGGAUACAAAAGAAGAGAUCGGGAAAAAUGUUGCAAGUAUAAUUAGGGGGUGUUAAAAAGAUGGGGUGCUUCUACAAGAGCUUAUUUGCUUGUAAUAGUUCAGGUUCUUGUGAACUGGACUUUUUCAUAGUGCAGUUCAUAGCGUCUCGAGUAAGACAUAAAUCUCAGAAUGAACAUAGGUUUCAUGAGGAUAAAUGAUUGUUAGUCUUAUAUAUGUAGAAUUAUUUAUUUUAGGCAGGGUUCUUAUAUUCAAAAUUGAUUAGAAUACAAGAUUUCUUGUAACCUUGUUGGCGAGCUGCCAUUACAGAGCUGCCCCUCUGCCAACUGUUGUAAAUGAAAAGAGAGCUUGUUC
This 1347-nucleotide unclassified non-coding RNA is filed under the name Hevea brasiliensis (rubber tree). The record is from RNAcentral. Lineage: Eukaryota; Viridiplantae; Streptophyta; Magnoliopsida; Malpighiales; Euphorbiaceae.